This 459-nucleotide ribosomal RNA is filed under the name uncultured bacterium. RNAcentral's name for it is "partial 16S ribosomal RNA". It matches the Rfam family "Bacterial small subunit ribosomal RNA", at positions 338 to 795 of the family's 1533-position model. The record is from RNAcentral.
CCUACGGGUGGCAGCAGUGAGGAAUAUUGGUCAAUGGCCGGGAGUCUGAACCAGCCAAGUCGCGUGCAGGAAGACGGCCCUACGAGUUGUAAACUUCUUUUGUCGGAGAGCAAACCUGAAGACGUGUAUUCCGUUGAGAGUACCCUAAGAAAAAGCAUCGGCUAACUCCGUGCCAGCAGCCGCGGUAAUACGGAGGAUGCAAGCGUUAUCCGGAUUUAUUGGGUUAAAAGGGUGCGCAGGCGGGGGAUCAAGUCAGCGGUAAAAUGUCGGGGCUAAACCCCGAACUGCCGUUGAAACUGUUUAUCUAGAGUGGGCGAGAAGUAUGCGGAAUGUGUGGUGUAGCAGUGAAAUGCAUAGAUAUCACGAAGAACUCCGAUUGCGAAGGCAGCAUACCAGCCUAAAACUGACGUUGAGGCACGAAAGCGUGGGGAUCGAACAGGAUUAGAUACCCUUGUAGUC